GAUGAACGCUGGCGGCGUGCCUAAUACAUGCAAGUCGAGCGAACAGAUGAGGAGCUUGCUCCUCUGACGUUAGCGGCGGACGGGUGAGUAACACGUGGAUAACCUACCUAUAAGACUGGGAUAACUUCGGGAAACCGGAGCUAAUACCGGAUAAUAUAUUGAACCGCAUGGUUCAAUAGUGAAAGACGGUUUUGCUGUCACUUAUAGAUGGAUCCGCGCCGCAUUAGCUAGUUGGUAAGGUAACGGCUUACCAAGGCGACGAUGCGUAGCCGACCUGAGAGGGUGAUCGGCCACCCUGGAACUGAGACACGGUCCAGACUCCUACGGGAGGCAGCAGUAGGGAAUCUUCCGCAAUGGGCGAAAGCUUGACGGAGCAACGCCGCGUGAGUGAUGAAGGUCUUCGGAUCGUAAAACUCUGUUAUUAGGGAAGAACAAAUGUGUAAGUAACUAUGCACGUCUUGACGGUACCUAAUCAGAAAGCCACGGCUAACUACGUG
This 497-nucleotide ribosomal RNA is filed under the name uncultured bacterium. RNAcentral's name for it is "partial 16S ribosomal RNA". It matches the Rfam family "Bacterial small subunit ribosomal RNA", at positions 28 to 507 of the family's 1533-position model. The record is from RNAcentral.